ACCGGGCGUUAAGUUGCAGGGUAUAGACCCGAAACCCGGUGAUCUAGCCAUGGGCAGGUUGAAGGUUGGGUAACACUAACUGGAGGACCGAACCGACUAAUGUUGAAAAAUUAGCGGAUGACCUGUGGCUGGGGGUGAAAGGCCAAUCAAACCGGGAGAUAGCUGGUUCUCCCCGAAAGCUAUUUAGGUAGCGCCUCGUGAAUUCAUCUCCGGGGGUAGAGCACUGUUUCGGCUAGGGGGUCAUCCCGACUUACCAACCCGAUGCAAACUGCGAAUACCGGAGAAUGUUAUCACGGGAGACACACGGCGGGUGCUAACGUCCGUCGUGAAGAGGGAAACAACCCAGACCGCCAGCUAAGGUCCCAAAGUCAUGGUUAAGUGGGAAACGAUGUGGGAAGGCCCAGACAGCCAGGAUGUUGGCUUAGAAGCAGCCAUCAUUUAAAGAAAGCGUAAUAGCUCACUGGUCGAGUCGGCCUGCGCGGAAGAUGUAACGGGGCUAAACCAUGCACCGAAGCUGCGGCAGCGACGCUUAUGCGUUGUUGGGUAGGGGAGCGUUCUGUAAGCCUGUGAAGGUGGCCUGUGAGGGUUGCUGGAGGUAUCAGAAGUGCGAAUGCUGACAUAAGUAACGAUAAAGCGGGUGAAAAGCCCGCUCGCCGGAAGACCAAGGGUUCCUGUCCAACGUUAAUCGGGGCAGGGUGAGUCGACCCCUAAGGCGAGGCCGAAAGGCGUAGUCGAUGGGAAACGGGUUAAUAUUCCCGUACUUGGUGUUACUGCGAAGGGGGGACGGAGAAGGCUAUGUUGGCCGGGCGACGGUUGUCCCGGUUUAAGCGUGUAGGUGUGUGUUCCAGGUAAAUCCGGUU
This 860-nucleotide ribosomal RNA is filed under the name Salmonella enterica. RNAcentral's name for it is "partial 23S ribosomal RNA". It matches the Rfam family "Bacterial large subunit ribosomal RNA", at positions 687 to 1547 of the family's 2925-position model. The record is from RNAcentral. Lineage: Bacteria; Pseudomonadati; Pseudomonadota; Gammaproteobacteria; Enterobacterales; Enterobacteriaceae.